RNAcentral lists this long non-coding RNA (1490 nucleotides) under Helianthus annuus (common sunflower). RNAcentral describes it as "hypothetical non coding rna". The record is from RNAcentral. Lineage: Eukaryota; Viridiplantae; Streptophyta; Magnoliopsida; Asterales; Asteraceae.
GGGGUUUUGUAUACAAAAUGUGAGACACGUUACCAUUGGACGAAGAGUUAGCCAAUGUGUAAUAUGACCCACCAGUCAGGAUUGACAGUACUGAAUGAGUAACACAAUGUGACAGCCAAUUAGUAAAAAGCCAGCUGGAGAGCACUGACGGCUUGGAAAAAUGUGGCUAUAAAAGUUACCUAAAAGACGAUGUUUUAAAUUCAAUAAAAUAAAGUUUAUCCCUAUAAAAAUGUUGUAAUAAGAAACUUGGGUUUUACCCAUGUGAUUAUAAAUUUAAAAAUAUGGUGGUUUUACUUUGAUAAAAUAUUUCCUAUCUACGGUCCUGAUGAAAUUUCCACUGCCAAAAUAAUUAAACAUACAGAUACCACCGAAACUGGCUCGCGGCCGCCCGUUCUCAGGUAGUUAGGGGGCGGGGGUUGUGACAGAAGGAAUAUAUAAUAUUCUAUUAACAAGUUACAUAUUUAUAUAUACAUAUAAUAAAGUAAACCAAUUUGAGACACAUGACGGUUUAUGGGGCGAUCUCAAUUGUCUUUUUCUGCCUAAAUAAAUAGUUAUUAUAACUAUUUUUCAAAAGAAGAAGUUAUUUCUUGCAGUUUAUACCCCUGACAAUGCUUAUACCAACGCUAUCGAGAUGCCUAAAUUUAAAAAGUUGUUAUUGGAUUAUCAUAGAUCUAAUAUAUGAUACCUACAACAACAAAUUCUAACAAGAUAUCAUCAUCAAGUUUUUCGAAAUCCGUUACGUAUGAUCUACAAAAUAGAACACGGGGCAACACUAUUUACCAGUAAAACAAUAUUUAUAAAUUUAUGAAUUCUUUGUAUAUUAUCUUAAUAUAUUUAUAUUCUUAUUGAGUCCGUGCCUUAAUUUUAAUAAAUUUUAUGUAUCUCGGUUAUUGAAUUUAUGUGUAAACUCAGUUACUUAUAGCUUUAAAGUUUAUACAAGUUUUAUUUGUUACACCCGUGUAUCACACGGGAAAUAACCUAGUUUAAGAUAUAUACAUAUUUGAAAACUACCAUUAUAGUUUAACCCGUUUUCUUAAAUAAAUAAAUAAAUAAUACAAUAUAUAAACCUUCAAGGUAUUCCAAAGAAAAAAAACAGACGUUGAUUUUUACAAUAUAACUAGUAAUAUCACUCGUAGGCGAUGCGUCGCAGGCCUAUUGCAAACAUCAAAUGGAUUUGCCUAAACUUUAUGUAAUGCGUUAACCAUAUGAAAAUUCAUGUUUUUACGUACUCGGUUCAGCUCAAUGUAACAUAUAUUGAAUCAAAACGUUAAGUAAUCGAGUUUAUAGAAUUUAGAGUAAAUUGCCAAAAUCGUCCCUGAGGUUUGGGCAUGUUUGUCAUUUUCAUCCAAACAACUUUUUUGGUACAAUAUAGUCCUUCACGUUUGAGAUUUUUUGUCAUUUUCCUCCAAAAAUCUUAUUUGUUUAUUUUUUCUAUCAAAUAUGUGGAUGAAAAUGACAAAAAAUCCCAAAUCUAAGGGAUGAUUUUGGCA